Phyllostomus discolor (pale spear-nosed bat) is the source of this 420-nucleotide long non-coding RNA. RefSeq lists it as uncharacterized. The transcript is spliced from 3 exons. Lineage: Eukaryota; Metazoa; Chordata; Mammalia; Chiroptera; Phyllostomidae. The record is from RefSeq and is a predicted model, not a curated record.
AGAACUUAACCCGUGAUUGCUGGGGCUGACUCUCGCUCCUCCAGGGGCCGUCGUUUUUUACAGAGGGGUGGAGGUUGUUGCCUUUUUUUUUUUUUUUUUUUUAAUUAAAUGAAUGGAGGGCGGCGGCAACUGCCGCAGCUGGCUCAGCUGCGCGAACUGUGCCCCCUCCCAGCCUGCGAGAGGAGAUGUGGAAGCUCGAUCCAGGACAACCAGUGUGAGCAUAGAACAGGAGAGAAGAAAAAAACAGCCAAUAGAAGCCGGUAGAGGACCUGCCCCAACAAAACGGAAGAGCAAAUCCAGCGAGGAGACACCAUGGGAGUAACCGAAUGGCGUUCAGGUAGGGGGGGUUGGAUCAAAAAGUCUUCUACAUGCACAGCAAGGAGUUGGACAUCAUUAUAUCACCAGAGUUCCUUAGAUGAA